Molecule: long non-coding RNA, 815 nt
Organism: Canis lupus familiaris (dog)
Lineage: Eukaryota; Metazoa; Chordata; Mammalia; Carnivora; Canidae
Exons: 4
Source: RefSeq, a predicted model, not a curated record
GACUGUAAGGUACCAGAAGAUAGGCUUGGGUUUCCUAUUCCUGUGGUUUUCUCCCAAACUGCCUGCACUACCCAGGGUGAUCUGCUGGUGUUCCGUGCUGGACAAAUUGGCACAGGCCCAGUGAAUGGAGUCCCUGGAGGGCCACAGUCAGAGAAGAAUCUAGCCUGGUGUGGCUGUGUGAGUCACACGGCAGUGUGGGGAGCCUGAGGUUUGGGCCACUAGGGGAGAGAUCGCCAGCCGUCCCGUACCCAAAGCUUGUGCCUCAUCUGUCCUUUGAAAUUGAGGCAGACAAAUGGUGACAAGGACAAAUCUUGGAAGAAGCUCUUGGUGUUGUUGGGGCACUAUUACCCUGCACGAGGGAGGUAGACUCAUCCAAGCCAUGUGUAAAUGCUGAUUCUAGGAAGUCAGGAGCCCAAGCUGGAAGCCCAAAUCCACCAAGUAUUAGCCUUGAACAAAUAUCAGUGCUCUUCAUCUGUAAAAUAGAGGAGUUAGAAGCAAACAGGUGUCUUGAAAAGAUGGAGCCAGAAGAUUGGGGAAUAGCUGUGGCUCUGCUGCUAUUAGUCACGUGACUGGGCAAGUAAUUCAAGGGGUUGAAGCUGCUAUAUUACAGGCACUCUGCCAGAUGCUGUGAACACAGUGGUGUCCUGGCCACCAUGGCUGACCUGGCCCAGGCCUUCAGGUAUUUCAGAGUCUACUGAAAACUUUGUUCUCCUCAUUCCAAGCUUUCCUACUUAUGUGACUUACACCAGACUACUUAACCUCGGUGAACCUCAGUUUUUACAUCUGUGAGGUGGGGGAACAAUUAGAGAAGAUAA